This 68-nucleotide transfer RNA is filed under the name Liocranchia reinhardtii. RNAcentral describes it as "tRNA-Pro". It matches the Rfam family "tRNA". From Rfam's summary of the family: Transfer RNA (tRNA) molecules are approximately 80 nucleotides in length. The record is from RNAcentral. Lineage: Eukaryota; Metazoa; Mollusca; Cephalopoda; Oegopsida; Cranchiidae.
CAAAAGAUAAUUUAAUUAAAAUAUUAACAUUGGAAGUUAGAAAUUGAGAUUUAAUUCUUAUCUUUUGA